This 458-nucleotide ribosomal RNA is filed under the name uncultured bacterium. Its description in RNAcentral is "partial 16S ribosomal RNA". It matches the Rfam family "Bacterial small subunit ribosomal RNA", at positions 338 to 795 of the family's 1533-position model. The record is from RNAcentral.
CCUACGGGAGGCAGCAGUGGGGAAUAUUGCACAAUGGGGGAAACCCUGAUGCAGCGACGCCGCGUGAGUGAAGAAGUAAUUCGUUACGUAAAGCUCUAUCAGCAGGGAAGAAAUACUGACCUUACGGUCAGCAGACGGUACCUGAGUAAGAAACCCCGGCUAACUACGUGCCAGCAGCCGCGGUAAUACGUAGGGGACAAGCGUUAUCCGGAUUUACUGGGUGGAAAGGGAGCGUAGACGGUGCGCCAAGUCUGGAGUGAAAUGCCGAAGCUUAACUGCGGAACUGCUGUGGAAACUGGCGAACUAGAGUGUGGGAGGGGUAGGCGGAAUUCCUGGUGUAGCGGUGAAAUGCGUAGAUAUUAGGAGGAACACCGGUGGCGAAGGCGGCUUACUGGACCGUAACUGACGUUGAGGCUCGAAAGCGUGGGGAGCAAACAGGAUUAGAUACCCUGGUAGUC